RNAcentral lists this non-coding RNA (21 nucleotides) under Caenorhabditis elegans. The record is from RNAcentral. Lineage: Eukaryota; Metazoa; Nematoda; Chromadorea; Rhabditida; Rhabditidae.
UAUAUUUUGAGCUCUAUUUGA